RNAcentral lists this small RNA (609 nucleotides) under Pongo abelii (Sumatran orangutan). Its description in RNAcentral is "retained intron". Lineage: Eukaryota; Metazoa; Chordata; Mammalia; Primates; Hominidae. The record is from RNAcentral.
CGGCUGGCAUGGUGCGCCACAUCUACCGCGACCUGGAGGCGGCCGACGCCGCCGCGCUGCAAGCUGGGAAUGGUGAGGAAGAAAUUCUGCCCCACUGUAACUUGCAGGUUUUUACCUACACCUGUGAUGUGGGGAAGAGGGAGAACGUCUACCUGACAGCUGAAAGAGUCCGCAAGGAGGUUGGCGAAGUCUCAGUCCUGGUCAAUAAUGCUGGUGUUGUCUCUGGGCAUCACCUUCUGGAAUGUCCUGAUGAGCUCAUUGAGAGAACCAUGAUGGUCAAUUGCCAUGCACACUUCUGGGUAAAUAUAAACAUCCUUGUUUUCUUUGCUGGGCCCUCCUCAAUGAGAAGGUUGGGAAGGAGAGAGACUUCAGUGCCAGCCUGAAAGCAACCUGUACUCUUUCGCCACAAGGUCUCCUUAGCUCUUCCCUAUGGUAAACUGCAGUGUAUGCUGGUUACUAUUAGUCGUUUUGUCCCCGCCCACCCCCCGCCACCCCUAACUCAGUAUUUUUGAGAGGGCAGAGGAUUGAACAUUUUGAACUAGUUUGAAAGAUCGCCAUAAAAAUAACAAGACAGAGCGUAAAACCCUGGGUUUGUUUAUUUUACUUUCU